This 253-nucleotide ribosomal RNA is filed under the name uncultured bacterium. RNAcentral describes it as "partial 16S ribosomal RNA". It matches the Rfam family "Bacterial small subunit ribosomal RNA", at positions 524 to 776 of the family's 1533-position model. The record is from RNAcentral.
UACGUAGGGGGCAAGCGUUGUCCGGAAUUAUUGGGCGUAAAGAGCGCGCAGGCGGUCGUGCAAGUCGCGUGUGAAAGCCCCCGGCUCAACUGGGGAGGGUCACGCGAUACUGCUCGACUCGAAGGCAGGAGAGGGUAGUGGAAUUCCCGGUGUAGUGGUGAAAUGCGUAGAUAUCGGGAGGAACACCAGUGGCGAAGGCGACUACCUGGCCUGUUCUUGACGCUGAGGCGCGAAAGCUAGGGGAGCAAACGGG